RNAcentral lists this non-coding RNA (23 nucleotides) under Cricetulus griseus (Chinese hamster). Lineage: Eukaryota; Metazoa; Chordata; Mammalia; Rodentia; Cricetidae. The record is from RNAcentral.
AAUGUAUGAAAGACCUAAAUAGA